UACAGAGGGUGCGAGCGUUACUCGGAAUUACUGGGCGUAAAGCGCGCGUAGGCGGCUUUGCAAGUCGGGUGUGAAAUCCCCAGGCUUAACCUGGGAACUGCAUUCGAGACUGCAUUGCUAGAGUAUGGGAGAGGGAAGUGGAAUUUCCGGUGUAGCGGUGAAAUGCGUAGAUAUCGGAAGGGACAACAGUGACGAAAGCGACUUCCUGGACCAAUACUGACGCUCAUGUGCGAAAGCGUGGGGAGCAAACAGG
RNAcentral lists this ribosomal RNA (253 nucleotides) under uncultured bacterium. RNAcentral describes it as "partial 16S ribosomal RNA". It matches the Rfam family "Bacterial small subunit ribosomal RNA", at positions 524 to 776 of the family's 1533-position model. The record is from RNAcentral.